This 240-nucleotide unclassified non-coding RNA is filed under the name soil metagenome. RNAcentral's name for it is "partial contains 5.8S ribosomal RNA, internal transcribed spacer 2, and large subunit ribosomal RNA". The record is from RNAcentral.
AACAUCGCGCACCUGCGGGAACCUGCGGAAGGAUCAUUAAAGAAUUUGAAUGAAAUGCAUUUGAACUUUCAAGGAUAUCUUGAGGUAGGUGGUAAGUUAUUGCUGCUUGUUUCGGAUUCUUUGAAUUCAUUGCAUUUCUUUAUAUUCAUACCCGCACUACAUGGGAGACCGUGUAGUGUUACCUAUUUAGAAUCAUUUUUGUAUUUCAUUAGUCUUUUUAAAAUUUGUUAAGUUUUUAAU